Molecule: unclassified non-coding RNA, 323 nt
Filed under: soil metagenome
Description: partial contains 5.8S ribosomal RNA, internal transcribed spacer 2, and large subunit ribosomal RNA
Rfam family: 5.8S ribosomal RNA (bases 1-120)
Source: RNAcentral
GAUGAAGAACGUAGCGAAAUGCGAUAAGUAGUGUGAAUUGCAGAAUUCAGUGAAUCAUCGAAUCUUUGAACGCACAUUGCGCCCCUUGGUAUUCCAUGGGGCAUGCCUGUUCGAGCGUCAUUUGUACCUUCAAGCUUUGCUUGGUGUUGGGUGUUUGUCCCUCGGGACUCGCCUUAAAGUCAUUGGCAGCCAGUGUUUUGGUUUUGAAGCGCAGCACAAGUCGCGAUUCAAGGCUAUCCGCCCGCUUCCACAAGCCUUUUUCACUUUUGACCUCGGAUCAGGUAGGGAUACCCGCUGAACUUAAGCAUAUCAUAAGCGGAGGA